RNAcentral lists this ribosomal RNA (467 nucleotides) under uncultured bacterium. RNAcentral describes it as "partial 16S ribosomal RNA". It matches the Rfam family "Bacterial small subunit ribosomal RNA", at positions 29 to 507 of the family's 1533-position model. The record is from RNAcentral.
ACGAACGCUGGCGGCGUGCUUAACACAUGCAAGUCGAAUGGAAAGGCCCUGCUUUUGUGGGGUGCUCGAGUGGCGAACGGGUGAGUAACACGUGAGUAACCUGCCCUUGACUUUGGGAUAACUUCAGGAAACUGGGGCUAAUACCGGAUAGGAGCUCCUGCUGCAUGGUGGGGGUUGGAAAGUUUCGGCGGUUGGGGAUGGACUCGCGGCUUAUCAGCUUGUUGGUGGGGUAGUGGCUUACCAAGGCUUUGACGGGUAGCCGGCCUGAGAGGGUGACCGGCCACAUUGGGACUGAGAAACGGCCCAGACUCCUACGGGAGGCAGCAGUGGGGAAUAUUGCACAAUGGGCGGAAGCCUGAUGCAGCAACGCCGCGUGCGGGAUGACGGCCUUCGGGUUGUAAACCGCUUUCGCCUGUGACGAAGCGUGAGUGACGGUAAUGGGUAAAGAAGCACCGGCUAACUACGUG